This 1465-nucleotide ribosomal RNA is filed under the name metagenome. RNAcentral describes it as "bacterial SSU rRNA". It matches the Rfam family "Bacterial small subunit ribosomal RNA". The record is from RNAcentral.
AGAGUUUGAUCCUGGCUCAGAAUGAACGCUGGCGGCAUGGAUUAGGCAUGCAAGUCGAACGAGGCCUUCGGGCCUAGUGGCGAAAGGGUGAGUAACGCGUGAGUAACCUGCCUCAAGGUCGGGGAUAGCCCGGGGAAACCCGGAUUAAUACCGGAUGUGGCGAACUAGUUUAUCUGGUUCAGCUAAAGAUUUAUCGCCUUGAGAUGGGCUCGCGUCCGAUUAGCUAGUUGGUGAGGUAAUGGCUCACCAAGGCAGCGACCGGUAGCUGGUCUGAGAGGAUGGUCAGCCACACUGGGACUGAGACACUGCCCAGACUCCUACGGGAGGCUGCAGUCGAGAAUCUUCCGCAAUGCGCGCAAGCGUGACGGAGCGAUGCCGCGUGAGGGAUGACGGCCUUCGGGUUGUAAACCUCUGUCACCCGGGAUGAAUUUUGACAGUACCGGGAGAGGAAGCCACGGCUAACUACGUGCCAGCAGCCGCGGUAAUACGUAGGUGGCGAGCGUUAUUCGGAUUUAUUGGGCGUAAAGGGUCCGCAGGGGGUGAAGCAAGUCUGAUGUGAAAUACUAGGGCUCAACCUUAGACGUGCAUUGGAAACUGCCUCACUAGAGUAUCGGAGAGGAAAGCAGAAUUCCUGGUGUAGCGGUGGAAUGCGUAGAUAUCAGGAGGAAUACCAAUGGCGAAGGCAGCUUUCUGGACGAUAACUGACCCUCAUGGACGAAAGUAGGGGGAGCAAACAGGAUUAGAUACCCUGGUAGUCCCUACUGUAAACGUUGUGCACUAGGUGUUGGGGGAUUUGACCCCCUCAGCGCCCCAGCUAACGCGAUAAGUGCACCGCCUGGGGAGUACGGCCGCAAGGUUAAAACUCAAAGGAAUUGACGGGGGCCCGCACAAGCGGUGGAGCAUGUGGCUUAAUUCGAGGCUACGCGAAGAACCUUACCUGGGCUUGACAUAUAGUUGCCGGGCCGUGAAAGCGGUCUUUCCUCUUUGAGGACGAUUAUACAGGUGCUGCAUGGCUGUCGUCAGCUCGUGUCGUGAGAUGUUCGGUUAAGUCCGGCAACGAGCGCAACCCGUGUCGUCAGUUGCCAUCAGGUAAUGCUGGGAACUCUGACGAGACUGCCCGUGUCAAGCGGGAGGAAGGCGCGGAUGACGUCAAGUCCGUAUGGCCCUUACGCCCAGGGCUGCACACGUGCUACAAUGGCUGGUACAAUGGGCUGCGACGCUGCGAAGCGUAGCUAAUCCCCAAAACCAGUCCCAGUUCGGAUUGCAGUCUGCAACUCGACUGCAUGAAGCCGGAAUCGCUAGUAAAGGCGUAUCGGCAACGACGCCUUGAAUACGUUCCCGGGCCUUGUACACACCGCCCGUCACAUCAUGGAAGCUGGAUGCACCCGAAGUCGUUGACCCAACCUUUCGAGGAGGGAGGGGCCGAAGGUGUGCUCAGUGACUGGGAUGAAGUCGUAACAAGGUA